Molecule: long non-coding RNA, 496 nt
Organism: Pipra filicauda (Wire-tailed manakin)
Lineage: Eukaryota; Metazoa; Chordata; Aves; Passeriformes; Pipridae
Exons: 2
Source: RefSeq, a predicted model, not a curated record
CAUCACCCCAAUUACAAAGCCAUAGGGCAGGACCUCCCUGAGGAUCUCUUGUCAAAGCGGGCAGCCCCAGCCACUCCAAAAGCCAGCCUUGGGGGGAAAAGCCUGUGACCAUGAGGACAGAGGUGCAGAGCUGCAGAACCUCUGAAGCGGAAAUUGCCCUGCUGAGUGUGCCUUGACCCGAGUCUGAGAAGUGGCACCACAGCACCAGCACAACUGGUUGGCUUUCCUUGAAAUCUUUCUGGAUUUCACUAAAGCUUUUGACACUGUCUCUCACAGCAUCCUUCUGGGUAAAAUGUCCAGCACACAGCUGGAUAAACACAACUUCCCGUGGGUGAGCAAUUCGCUCACAGAUCGAGCACAGAGGGACUGGAAGGGACACUAAGCAAGUUUGCAGAUGACACAAAAUUGGGAGGAGCCGGCCAAGGAUAUGUUCUAACAUCAUCAUCAAACAAGGUAAUGUAAAAUUAAUAAACAUGUAUGCACAUAUAUCACAAAA